UGGUCCAGUGGUUAAGACUCUGCUUUUCCACUGCAGGGGUCAGGGGUUCAAUCCCCCU
RNAcentral lists this transfer RNA (58 nucleotides) under Ovis aries (sheep). It matches the Rfam family "tRNA", at positions 8 to 63 of the family's 71-position model. Rfam says of the family: Transfer RNA (tRNA) molecules are approximately 80 nucleotides in length. Their secondary structure includes four short double-helical elements and three loops (D, anti-codon, and T loops). Further hydrogen bonds mediate the characteristic L-shaped molecular structure. tRNAs have two regions of fundamental functional importance: the anti-codon, which is responsible for specific mRNA codon recognition, and the 3' end, to which the tRNAs corresponding amino acid is attached (by aminoacyl-tRNA synthetases). tRNAs cope with the degeneracy of the genetic code in two manners: having more than one tRNA (with a specific anti-codon) for a particular amino acid; and 'wobble' base-pairing, i.e. permitting non-standard base-pairing at the 3rd anti-codon position. Lineage: Eukaryota; Metazoa; Chordata; Mammalia; Artiodactyla; Bovidae. The record is from Rfam by way of RNAcentral.